CUGUGAUGCGCUCUCAAAGAGUCGAGUUGUUUGGGAAUGCAGCUCAAAAUGGGUGGUGAACUCCAUCUAAAGCUAAAUAUUGGCGAGAGACCGAUAGCGAACAAGUACCGUGAGGGAAAGAUGAAAAGCACUUUGGAAAGAGAGUGAAACAGUACGUGAAAUUGUUGAAAGGGAAACGCUUGAAGUCAGUCGCGUCGACCGAGACUCAGCCUCGCCUCGGCUUGGUGUACUUCUCGGCUGACGGGUCAGCAUCAAUUUCGAUCCUUGGAUAAUGGCAAGGGAAAGGUAGCACCUUUAUAGGUGUGUUAUAGUCCUCUGUCGGAUGCAAGGGUCGGGAUUGAGGAACUCAGCACGCACCUUUUAGGUGUCGGGGCCUCGGCCUACGUUACGUGCUUAGGAUGCUGGCAUAAUGGCUUUAAACGACCCGUCUUGAAACACGGACCAAGGAGUCUAACAUGCACGCGAGUGUUCGGGUGGAAAACCCGUGCGCGUAAUGAAAGUAAAAGUUGGGACCUCUGUCGUGGAGGGCACCGACGCCCGGACCAGACCUUCUGUGACGGCUCCGCGGUAGAGCGUGUAUGUUGGGACCCGAAAGAUGGUGAACUAUGCCUGAAUAGGGUGAAGCCAGAGGAAACUCUGGUGGAGGCUCGUAGCGAUUCUGACGUGCAAAUCGAUCGUCAAAUUUGGGUAUAGGGGCGAAAGACUAAUCGA
Molecule: ribosomal RNA, 711 nt
Filed under: uncultured fungus
Lineage: Eukaryota; Fungi
Description: eukaryotic LSU rRNA
Rfam family: Eukaryotic large subunit ribosomal RNA
Source: RNAcentral